This 480-nucleotide ribosomal RNA is filed under the name uncultured bacterium. Its description in RNAcentral is "SSU rRNA". It matches the Rfam family "Bacterial small subunit ribosomal RNA", at positions 26 to 518 of the family's 1533-position model. The record is from RNAcentral.
AGGACGAACGCUGGCGGCGUGCUUAACACAUGCAAGUCGAGCGGAAAGGCCCUUCGGGGUACUCGAGCGGCGAACGGGUGAGUAACACGUGAGCAACCUGCCCCUGGCUCUGGGAGUAGCCUUCGGAAACGGGGAGUUAAUACCGGAUAUUCACUGCUUCCUGCAUGGGGGGUGGGUGGAAAGUUUUUCGGUCGUGGGGUGGGGCGUCGCGGCCUAUCAGCUUGUUGGGGGGUGACGGCCCACCAAGGCGACGACGGGUAGCCGGCCUGAGAGGGCGACCGGCCACACUGGGACUGAGACACGGCCCAGACUCCUACGGGAGGCAGCAGUGGGGAAUAUUGCGCAAUGGGCGGAAGCCUGACGCAGCGACGCCGCGUGCGGGAUGAAGGCCUUCGGGUUGUAAACCGCUUUCACCAGGGACGAAGCGAGAGUGACGGUACCUGGGGAAGAAGAGCCGGCUAACUACGUGCCAGCAGCCGC